Molecule: ribosomal RNA, 243 nt
Filed under: uncultured Staphylococcus sp.
Lineage: Bacteria; Bacillati; Bacillota; Bacilli; Caryophanales; Staphylococcaceae
Description: partial 16S ribosomal RNA
Rfam family: Bacterial small subunit ribosomal RNA
Source: RNAcentral
CGGCGGACGGGUGAGUAACACGUGGAUAACCUACCUAUAAGACUGGGAUAACUUCGGGAAACCGGAGCUAAUACCGGAUAAUAUAUUGAACCGCAUGGUUCAAUAGUGAAAGACGGUUUUGCUGUCACUUAUAGAUGGAUCCGCGCCGCAUUAGCUAGUUGGUAAGGUAACGGCUUACAAGGCAACGAUGCGUAGCCGACCUGAGAGGGUGAUCGGCCACACUGGAACUGAGACACGGUCCAG